AGAGUUUGAUCCUGGCUCAGGAUGAACGCUAGCGACAGGCCUAACACAUGCAAGUCGAGGGGCAUCGGGACGUAGCAAUACGUUGCCGGCGACCGGCGGAUGGGUGAGUAACGCGUAUGCAACCUACCCGUAGCAGGGGGAUAGCCCGUUGAAAGACGGAUUAAUACCCCGUAACACAGGGGCUCCGCAUGGAGAUUAUUGUUAAAGGGUCAUUUCUUUUAGAGGUGGUCCGGCUGCGGAUGGGCAUGCGUUCCAUUAGGUAGUUGGUGUAGGUAACGGCUCACCAAGCCGACGAUGGAUAGGGGAACUGAGGGGUUGGUCCCCCACACUGGUACUGAGACACGGACCAGACUCCUACGGGAGGCAGCAGUGAGGAAUCUUGGUCAAUGGACGCAAGUCUGAACCAGCCAUGUCGCGUGAAGGAGGACGGCCCUAAGGGUUGUAAGCUUCUUUUGCAGUGGAAUAAAGUUUGCCACGUGUUGGCGAUUUGCAAGUACGCUGCGAAUAAGGAUCGGCUAACUCCGUGCCAGCAGCCGCGGUAAUACGGAGGAUCCGGGCGUUAUCCGGAUUUAUUGGGUUUAAAGGGUGCGCAGGCGGGGAAUUAGGUCGGCGGUGAAAUUUCGGGGCUCAACCUCGACAGUGCCGUUGAAACCGUUUCUCUUGAGUGCGGAUGAGGUAGGCGGAAUUUGUGGUGUAGCGGUGAAAUGCGUAGAUAUCACAAGGAACACCGAUUGCGGAGGCAGCUUACUAAACCGUUACUGACGCUCAUGCACGAAGGCGUGGGGAUCAAACAGGAUUAGAUACCCUGGUAGUCCACGCAGUAAACGAUGAUUACUUGCUGUUUGCGAUACACAGUAAGCGGCGAAGCGAAAGCGUUAAGUAAUCCACCUGGGGAGUACGUUCGCAAGAAUGAAACUCAAAUGAAUUGACGG
This 932-nucleotide ribosomal RNA is filed under the name uncultured bacterium. Its description in RNAcentral is "bacterial SSU rRNA". It matches the Rfam family "Bacterial small subunit ribosomal RNA", at positions 8 to 916 of the family's 1533-position model. The record is from RNAcentral.